AGUGAACGCUGGCGGUAGGCCUAACACAUGCAAGUCGAACGGCAGCACAGUAAGAGCUUGCUCUUACGGGAGGCGAGUGGCGGACGGGUGAGGAAUACAUCGGAAUCUACUUUUUCGUGGGGGAUAACGUGGGGAAACUUACGCUAAUACCGCAUACGACCUACGGGUGAAAGCAGGGGAUCUUCGGACCUUGCGCGAUUGAAUGAGCCGAGGUCGGAUUAGCUAGUUGGCGGGGUAAAGGCCCACCAAGGCGACGAUCCGUAGCUGGUCUGAGAGGAUGAUCAGCCACACUGGAACUGAGACACGGUCCAGACUCCUACGGGAGGCAGCAGUGGGGAAUAUUGGACAAUGGGCGCAAGCCUGAUCCAGCCAUACCGCGUGGGUGAAGAAGGCCUUCGGGUUGUAAAGCCCUUUUGUUGGGAAAGAAAAGCAGCAGGUUAAUACCCCGCUGUUCUGACGGUACCCAAAGAAUAAGCACCGGCUAGCUUCGUG
Molecule: ribosomal RNA, 492 nt
Filed under: uncultured bacterium
Lineage: Bacteria
Description: partial 16S ribosomal RNA
Rfam family: Bacterial small subunit ribosomal RNA
Source: RNAcentral